GGAGAAGUGGCAGAGUGGUUGAAUGCACCUGACUCGAAAUCAGGAAUGGGGGCAACCUCAUCGGGGGUUCAAAUCCCCCCUUCUCCG
Molecule: transfer RNA, 87 nt
Filed under: Cyanobacteria bacterium M5B4
Lineage: Bacteria; Bacillati; Cyanobacteriota
Description: tRNA-Ser
Rfam family: tRNA
About the family: Transfer RNA (tRNA) molecules are approximately 80 nucleotides in length. Their secondary structure includes four short double-helical elements and three loops (D, anti-codon, and T loops).
Source: RNAcentral